CAGAAGCUCAACAUUUAUAUCAGUCGAUUUUGCCUGAUAUGGUGAAAAUUGCACUCUGUUUGCCAAAUAUUUGCACCCAGGUUAGUAGAAAUAACUUUUUCCCCAGUAGCUUUCUUGAGACUCACAACUGAAUUUCUUUUAAACUGUAAUGGUCAGGGUCAAAGAGAGAGAAGAGAGAGAUAGGAAACAGUUUGUGUCAAAGAGUAUGAGGAGUUUGCUAUACUGAAGAACGGGUUAGAGGCUAGAGGGAAUGCUGCAAAAGGACAUUAAAAAUGCAGCAUUCAAUUUCUGAGCUUCAGUUUACUCUGUUGAUAUUUGCUUACUUAGACUUCCUAUUUUCUUUUUGUUUAAACAGUCUCUAACUUAAAAAGAGGUCAUUAUCCCAAAACAUACUAAUGGAUUUAGAACAAUUCAAGUUUAUUUAUUUAUUUUGAGAGAAAGACAGAGAGCUGGCAAGCAGGGGAGGGGCAGAGAAAGGGGGAGACACAGAAUCCCACACAGGUUCUGUGCUGUGAGUGCAGGGUCCAACACAGAAUCCAACACAGGGCUCCAAUCACAAACUGUGAGAUCAUGACUUGAGCCAAAAUCAAGAGUCGGACACUUAACUGACUCUUGAUUAAUACCAGAUUCUUUCUUUCAUUUUUAAAAGUUAGAAAGCACCAUGAGCUGGGCACCUGGGUGGCAGAGUUGGUUAAGUGUCUGACUUCGACUCAGGUUAUGACCCUGUGGUUCAUUGGUUCGAGCCCUGCAUCGGGCUCUGCUGACAGCUCAGAGCCUGGAGCCUGGUUUGGAGUCUGUGUCUCCCUCUCUUUCUGCCCCUCCCCACUCGUGCUCUGCUUUCUUUCUCUCAAAAAUACAUAAACAUUAAAAAAUAUCUUAAAAAAAAGAAAAAUCUCUGCUGUGAAAAUUAACAUUUCAGUUUGAUAUCAAAGUAUAUCUUUGGCAAAUUGAGCUGCAUAUGUUGUUAUUUAAUGACUUAUCACAUCAACAUUCUCUAGACCGAAUCUAAAAGGUAAAUUUUAGAUUUAUAAAAAGGAAAUUAAAGGAAACACAUUUUGGACAUGAACUUUUUGAAAAAUCUUGGUUCAUAUUAAACCACUCUUAUUUUUAUCUAGCUAAGCAUUUGAUAAUCAGAUUUACAUCUUCUAGGGUGCCUUGGUGGCUCAGUUGGUUAAGCACCCAACUCUUGAUCUCAGCUCAGGCAUUAAUAUCAGGGUGGUGAGUUCAAGCCCGGUUAUUGGGCUCCACACUGGGCAUGGAGCCUACUAAAAAAAAAAAAAAAAAAAAAAGAUUUACAUCCUUCAGUUUUCCCCAAGUAUGACUUUUUAGGAUUUCUCCUCUAAGAAAACAGAAAUCAGUUAUUCUAUCUAUUUAUUUAUUUAUUAAAAAAAAUUUUUUUUAAUGUUUAUUUCUGAGGCAGAGAGAGACAGAGCAUGAGUGGGGGAGGGGCAAAGAGAGAGGGAGACAGAAUCUGAACCAGGCUCCAGACUCUGAGCUGUCAGCACAGAGCCCAAUGUGGGGCUUGAACUCACAAACCAUGAGAUCAUGACCUGAGCUGAAGUCAGUCGCUCAACCAACUGAGCUACCCAGGUGCCCCAGUUAUUCUAUUUAAAAUCAUACUGUUGAUUAUUUUGGGGGUUAAGAAUGUUUGCAUUUAUCAUUCAUUAAGCCUAAAAUAUCACCAUUAAUUUUUAAACUCAUUUUUAUGGAUAACUUCAUAAAUAGUAGUUAAAAGCUCUUUUUUUAAAAAAAAAUAAUGUUUAUUUAUUUAGAGAGUGCUCACACAUGCACUGGGAGGAAGGGCUAAGAGAAAGGGAGACAGAGAAUCUUAAGCAGGCUGUGUGUUGUCAGCGCAGAGCUAGACAUGAGGCUCAGUCCCACAAACUGUGAGAUCAUGACCUGAGCCAAAAUCAAGAGUUGGACUUAACCAACUGAGCCACCCUUGCUCCCCUAAAAGCUCAUUUUUAGCUAAAACUAAGUAACAGUUUGCUUUAAAUCACUGAUACAUUGUCACCUUUUCUAAAAGCAUUUCUGAGUUGUAAAUAAAUGCAUAGGGUGGGAAAUGGAAAUCAAUAUGAGGUCUCUGUUUCUUCUUUCUUAGAAAUGGUAAUUGCUAAGGCCUAAAAGGAGAGAUUUUUGGAAACUAUAAUGAUUCUUUAGGUUUCCCUUGUUUGUUUACCUUUGUAUUUUCACAAGGGAAAUAGUUGAACUGCAAAUUUAACCUUUUCUUUUUCUAGGAAAGUUUUAGUCUAGCAUUGAUGUAUAUUUUCUGUUAGAAAAAAGUUGUUACAUCAUUGUACUUUUGAUUUGUCUUGCCUGCCUUUCCUGUGUUUCACUUUGGUGUUUGCUGAAAUAUGAUCAGGACAGUUGUCUAUGUAUAGUAUACUGGUUUGACAUGAAUGCACAUAUCCAGGAUUUUUAGUUCUGGGUCUUACUGAAAGGUAGAAAGAAAAGCAUCCUUAAAUAUCAUGCUGGAGCAUUUUAAAACUUAAAAACUGAUAUGUAUACUGGCAGUUGGUCUUUGGCGUUACUAUCAUAUCUUUAAAAACAUACAUUUUAAACAUUUAAAGUAGAAUAAAACCCACUGAACACAAUACUUAGGUCCUGUGAAUUUACUGAAAAGAAAAGAUUAGUGAAUUUGGGUUUGGGACAACUAGAAGACGUUUCAGUCAUAAAAAAUUUGAAGGAAAAAUGUCCUGUAUCUUCCUUGACUUAAAAUGAUUAUAAAGGAAAUACCUAUCUUCUUACACAUUAUACAUAUGUGUGUAUACACAUGUCCUAUUAAUUGCUUUAAUAAAAUUAGAUUUAGGUCUCAAAGAAAUUGUCAAAGUGAAGUGUGAUUCAGAAUUGGAAGGAAAAGACUUAUUUAUUGAAUUAUUUUCCUUAGCAUCAUUUUAUUUAGGACUACAAUAGAAAAAUUGCUCUGUCCAGCAAUGUUUAAUAUGAGUGAGAAUAAAAUUUAGCAUAUGCUAUAAUAGCUCCAUUCGGUGUUGCAAUUUCCCGUUUCAUCUUUUGUUUUAAUUUUUCAUUACAUGGAUAAUGUGUAUUUAUUUCUUACUUGCUAAAACAAUCUUGUUUUCCACUAAUAAGUAAUGUUUUGUGUUCUCUUCACUAUCAUCAUUAUUGAUUAGAAAUCUGCAGUUUGUCAAACAAGUACACUUUUCCAAUCAUCCUUGAUGAACUGCCCUUGACUUCAACAGUGUUGCUGAUUUAAGAACUCAAGAGUGGCCUGAAAUUAUUCCUGCCUUAAUUUAGCAAAUGCAAUUUGGUGCCUCUGCUUUUGAAAUUGCUAAACUAAUUAUGGCUCUUCUUGUCUGUAUAUUUUGUUUCCUCUAUCAGCCAAUACCGCUCCUGAAACAGAAGAUGAAUCAUUCCAUCACAAUGUCACAGGAACAGAUUGCCAGUCUUUUAGCUAAUGCUUUCUUCUGCACAUUUCCACGGCGAAAUGCUAAGAUGAAAUCCGAGUAUUCUAGCUACCCAGACAUUAACUUCAAUCGGUAUGUUUUCAGAGAACACCUCUUAAACAGUGAAAUAGAGAAGGGUAGAAAGAACUAAUAUUUGUCCAGUGAUUUGCCAUAGACCAAACAUUUUAUGUCCAAUUAUCUAAUUUAAUCUUUAUAAUGCAGUGAGUUAAGUGGUAUUUUUGCCAUUUUGUAGGCAAGAUCAUUAAAGUUCAAUGAAAAUCUUUGUUAUUAUAUAGUUACUCUCCAUUAUCAACACUAGAAAGGAAUGGGGAAACAAUGAAAAACAAUGUCAUUUGUAUAAGAAAACUUAUUUAAAAUUCCAAUAAGAGAUACCCAUUUUAUACCAUAUUCUCUUUGUGUAAAUGCCAAUUGUGAGGGACAUGUUGUUAACCUAGUUUUGAGUCAGUACGUUAGCUAAGUUUGUUUUAAGAGAAUAGUAUUUAGUCAUUUAGUUCAAAUAUACAGUAAGCAAUUUCAGUAUUCUUCUUAGUGUGUUAAGUGCCUUACAAGAGAAAGGACAAACCAGUUUCUGACUUCUGUGUCUUUCCACGAGGCUUUUAUUCCUUCUUCGAGCAUCAGUUCAAGUAUCACUGUUUCUGAUAGCUCUGAUCUUGCCAGGAUAGGUUUGCUAUUCCCCUGGGUUCAUAUGAUGGUCUAUAUGUACCCCUGUUCUAUAAAAAAGAGGUACAUAGCAUUAUAAUACUCUAUUAUAGAAGGAUAUCGUUUGACAAAGGUUAAUAUACUUUAAUAAUAGUUUAAUAUAGUUUAGUAAAAUUUUUUCUUGAGGAAAUAACUUUUGAACUAAGUACAAAGGGUGAGUAGGGGUUUUUACCAAGGAGGAAAGGAGAGAUGAUUACAUUCUGGGUGAGGGGUACAGCAUGUUCAAAGGGGCACUGUGAUGAGAAGGACAUGACAUGCCCAGAGCCUGAGAGAAGACCAGUGCGGCUGCAGCACAGAGAGAGGACAGACUGCAGGGGAUAGGGGCCAGUAGGCCAUCCUACUGUGCCUUCAAGGCCCUCCUAAGGUAAUAAAAAGUCAUUAAAGGAUUUGGUAUGGGAGGAGGGGGAGGCUGAUGCACCUGAUCAGAUUUACAUUUUCAAAAGUUUGUUCUGAUUACAAUGUGGGUACUGAGUGGAGAGGGGCCGAAGUACAGUGAGUUUACCCAGCUGGAGAGGCUAUUGCGAUGCACUAGGAAGGAGAGGUUGAUAGCUGGGAUAGUGUAGCAGUGGGGGUAGAGGUGUGAUGACAUUUGAAGAACAAGUCAGUGUGAUGGUGACAAACUGUGAGUGGGUGAAGAGAGGCAUCCAGGGUUCUUCUGGGUUUGUACAACUGGGCAUGUGCCUUUUGUGUUCUCUACUUUUCCUGCUGUACCACCUACCCUACUUCUUUAUAAUUGCUUGUUUAAUCCUUUCAGUGGGAUCUGAAUCUUUCAUUAAAUUUCAUGCAUUGUAGGCCUUCAGUAAAUCCACAUUGAGUGAAUGAAAAUAAAAUUUAUAGAUGAAAUGUUUGAGAAAUUGACUGGUUAGUGGAAGAGUGUUAGGACUAAAACUAGAUCCUUCAUUCUUAAUCUAUUGUCUUUUACGUUUCAAACUUCAUCUUUAGCAAUUAGGAGAUAUUUUAUUUUUAAGCCAUAUAUAGUUCAAGUUUUUGCCUUUGAUUUCUUUAGCAUUUGGGAUAGAAUUGAGAGAAAACACAGCAUUGGUAUCUGCAAUUGCAAUUGUGUAAAGAACCUGUUUAUUAAAUAUAAUUUUUUUUUGCUUAUUUGAGAAAUUGUUAAAGAAUUUUUUCUACUCACUUGUAGUUAAGGGCUAUGCAUCUCUUGCAGAUUUUCCUUUUUAAUACAGAAAAGGAAAUGGACAAAUUUGGUAUGUAAGUAAACAAUGGAAAUUUAAUUCUGUAGAAAUGUAAUUAUCUGUUUCCAUGAAGAGUAUUAGUUAUAUUUAUAAAUCUCCAUACAGUAAGUAGUCUCUCUGUUUAUUUGGAAUAAAUGUUUGAUUAGCUCCAGGAUCACCAGGGAUGCUGUAAAUUAUUCAAAUUUCUAUCCAAAAUUCUGAAGACCGAUCCAGUGGUUUUGUGUUUUUCUGAUUUUUGAUUUUGGUAAGAAGUAGGUCUAGUUAAUAAUGCUUUAGAGUUAGUGUUUCCAUAGCCACUUAUAGUUUGUUUCCACAGGAUGAGUAGUCAGCUAGUACAUGUUUCUUGAUUGUCCCUCAGAUAAACCUUUGAUAUCUUAGUUAUAAGCUUUCUCAGAUUGAUUCUUUGACCUAAUUAUAUACCUUUUAAAUUUAUUUUUUAGAUAAGAGCUAUGCAUUCUCUUCCUAAGUUAAGGUUCUUUCAGAGAGACUCUUCUCCAAAAAAGUUAUUUUGAAGAUCUGUUACAGAUAUUUUCAAACAUGCUAAAAAAUAAAGAGAACAGUAUCAUGACCCCAUGUUUACUUACCCAAGUUUGGUACUAACCAGAAUUUUUUAUUUUGCUCCGUUUUCACCUAUCCAACCCCACUUUAUAUAUAUAUGUGUGUGUGUGUGUGUGUGUGUAUAACCAAAUUUCAGAUGUUAAGUUUCACCCAUAAAGAAUUCAGUAUUUAGGGGCACCUGGCUGGUUUAAUUGGUAGAGCAUGCAACUCUUGAUCUCAUGGUCAUGAGUUUGAGCCCCAUGUUGGGCAUAGAGUUUACUUAAAAAAAAAAAAAAAAAAGAGUUAGUAUUUAAACUAUUCACAGAUAAUGUUAGUCCUGUAUCAUGGUUAAAUGUUUAUAGCCCUUUCCUCUUUAAGAGCUUUAAGCUCUCUGUGGAUGACUACAAAUACACAUUCCUCAUCAGGUAAAACAAGAAAAAGCACAGAAAGAGAGCAGAAGAUUAAGCAUGAUUUCAAUUAGCAAUUGUAGGCUUUCACAAGGAAUGAAAAGUUACGUAUAGAAUAUGAUCUCAAUUAUGUUAAAAUACCUGUAUCUGUUAACAUACCUCUGUGUUCACAUCAGUACAUGUAUAAGCAUGGAAAGUAGACUGACAAGAAAAUGAAUUAAAGUAUGAUUCCCGUUGGGUAGUGAGAGAAACACAUUUAAUGCUUUUACUUCAUCCUUUACUAUAUUUUAAAAAUUGUUUUUAACAAGAAUAUAUUACUUUUAUAAUCAGAAGAAAAAUAGUUACAAGUCAAUCAUCAGACAAAGUUAAUGAAAAGAAUGGGUGAUUUUUGUACUUUGAUUUUGAGGUUGGAAGCCCACAGAUUUUUUGAGCCUUUCCCAAACAGCUAAUGUGGGUAGCUUCUUCCUUCCCUUCUAUAACCCCAUAGAUAGGGUAUCAUAACCCCCCUUCACCCUCACUGUACAGUCAGCGUGUGAAAGAAGCACAAGUCCACAGGGCCCUCUGAGGGCUGGGCACCUGCUACACUAGCAGCCUUCUUUUCUCAACAGUAAUGUGGACCUCAGGUUUGGAACGACUGACAGAAGUCAAGAAGUCUUGGGAAGCUUUGGCUUUUGUGACAUCCCAUUUCCUGCCGCUAUUACCAGAAUUUAUAUCAAUUUUAAUACACGUUUUAAUUUUAAAGCAUCAUUGCUUUUCAGCUAAACUUCUGACAGGAGGAUGCUGGAACGUCUUGGCAAAGGCGUGUUUAUCUUUUUCAUUGUGCAUGGGCAUUUUUCCUGAAGGCUGAGCUGGUUGGCUCUGAGUGUCAGCUUGUUAGGCUUGAUGGAAAAAGAGGCUGAGGAGUUUUUCUUAAUGAAGGGAAUAUAGAUUUGAACAAUAUAAGCAUUUUAUGUAAAUGAGUGGAUUUUUUUUUUUUGCUGGGCAUUACAUAAUGUCCUAUUUCAUCUCAAGUAUCUCUGCUUACUCAGCACUAUCUGGAUUUUUUUUUUUUUUUUUUUGCAUGAGAAUAAUUCUUUUUUUAUUGUUCACACACGCAAGUACGAGUGGGGAGGGGCAGAGAGAGAGGGAGACACAGAAUCUGAAGCAGGCUCCAUGCUGUCAGCACAGAGCCCGAUCCGGGGCUCGAACCCCUGAACUGUGAGAUCAAGACCUGAGCUGAAUUGGAUGCUUAACUGAGCCCCAAUUUCUUAAUAACAAUACCUGAUAUUUAUUAAGUACUUGCUAUGUGUUAAUCACCUUGCUGUUAUUUUUUACUUGAUGCAUCCGUUUUAUAAAUUAGGUAUUGUUUUCUCAUUUUUCCCAUGAGGAGAUGGAGGCUUAGAGAGAGGGUAGGAUUACUUCAUCAAGUUAACUGGUACAAUUGGGAUUCAAACUCAAGAUAAAGUUGGCUUCGAGAAGCUGUCUCAUAACCUUUUGUGCUAUCCAGCCUCCCUUUGAAUGAACCAGAUUAAUACUUCUUAACUCAUAGCUAAUCAGAAACUAGAACUACCCUUAGAAAUAAUCCUUGGUCUGUAAAAUGAACCAAAACUAUUCAUCAGUCCAGAGUGAGAUCAUGAGGGAUUUAAACUUAUGGUAUCCCAAUAGUAUUUUCAGAAAAUGAGAGUUUAAUCCAUUGGAGAUUUGAAACCAGGCAUAUUCUUGUCUUCUGGCUGAUAGAUGUUCUUUUGAUCACCAGAAUGUUGGGCAGGUAAAGCCUGUGGUAGUUUCCACAAUUGUUUUAUAAGUCUUUAUUUUUUUAUUAUUUAUUUAUUUAAUUUGUUUUUUCAGUAUAUGAAAUUUAUUGUCAAAUUGGUUUCCAUACAACACCCAGUGCUCAUCCCAAAAGGUGCCCUCCUCAAUACCCAUCACCCACCCUCCCCUCCCUCCCACCCCCCAUCAACCCUCAGUUUGUUCUCAGUUUUUAAGAGUCUCUUAUGCUUUGGCUCUCUCCCACUCUAACCUCUUUUUUUUUUUCCCCUUCCCCUCCCCCAUGGGUUUCUGUUAAGUUUCUCAGGAUUCACAUAAGAGUGAAAACAUAUGAUAUCUGUCUUUCUCUGUAUGGCUUAACCACAAUUGUUUUAAGGAGUCCUGGCAGCACCUGGCUCUCACUGAGAUGGUAUGUGUUUAAUAAGCCUAAACUAGCAAAAAGCAGGAAUGAUGACUAUACAUGAUCAUUGAUGCUGUCUGUUGAUAGCUUACUUUGAUUCUAUCUGUGGAAGUUUCUAGGUAGGGAACCUUCUAUACUAAUAGGUUCAGUGAAAGUAAGUGACUUGUCAGCAGAACAAGCAGGACGCUGUCUUCCAUCAGACUCCAUGCUCUUUUCGUUAUGUCUUGCUUCUUCUCGAGCAAAAUGCUCUGAGUGUGCUCCAGAGAUGGAAAACAACCAAAAGUUCCCCUUUUUCAUGUGACUUAUGAAAGAUCAAGUACCUAAUUUGAUGAGCCAUUUGGUAAGCUGAUUAUGGAGCAUUUUGUUGUGGUGGUGUUUUCUUUUUGGCCUAGUUGCUAUUUAUGAUUAUAGUUUCUGGCAGUUGGGAGUUGUGUGUGUGUGAGUGUAUUUAGCCUCAAAAGAGCUAUGGCUAGCUAGUUGAUUGAAUAAGAAAAAUGGUUAAGAGUAUGUGGUAGGAGGCUGAUGUCAAUAAAUUGAAUAAGUCUUCCUGUUUUUAUUUAUUGUUGUGUUCUUCCAGCCCUGCUUAGUUAUGUUAAAUACCCCUGACCUUUUCCCCUGCUUGCCUUUCAGGGCCUAAACAUUCAUAUAAAGGCUUCCAAUGUGAUUAGCAUUGAUGCUUCUGAGAUUGCUUAGAAACUGAUGGUCAGAGAUUAAUUGUGGGUUGCAGCAGUGAUCAGCCCAGGAGGCUUUUACAUCUUCCUCUUCCCUGGAUUGAAAGUGCUUCUGGGGCCAUAUGGCAGAGUGCUUCACAGAAAAACCAAGAAUGACUUUGUGGCUGGGUUCCAGGUUAUUAUUUGCAUCCAUUUUAAAGUGGAAGUUAUAGUGCUUUGGGUUUGAUUUACUGUGUGCUAAUGGGAUUAAUCCUUAACUCGAAAUCACAUGGGUCUGUGCGUGUGUGUGUCUAGAAUCCAAUUCCAGUAAUGUUAUCAAUAUUCUAUUCAGAGAAAGAUUUUAUUGAACUAUGAUUUUCCUUAUAUGUAUGGAAAGAAAAACAAUAGUUAAUAAGUAUCUGACCCUCGAUUGACUUAUUUCCUUGAAAAUAAAAAGUUUUGUUUAUAACAAAAAGUGAGGUUGCCUGACUGGCUUUUUCUGUAUGCUUAUUUUAUUUUAUUUUAAUUUUUUUUAAGUAGGCUUCAUGCCCAGCAUGGAGCCCAACAUGGGGCUUGAACUCACAACCCUGAGAUCAAGACCUGAGCUGAGAUCAAGAGUCAGACACUUAACCACUGAGCCACCCAGGCUCCCCUGCUUGCUUUUUUAAAUACUCUCUAAUUACCACUCAGUUAAAUGUCAAAAUGUCCUCCUUACAUGUAGAGGGGUUAUUGUGGUCUAGUUUAUGUGCAUGUUCAUAUGCAUGCCUCCUGGCUCAAAAUAGGCCUUCAAAUAUACACACCCAGGACUUGGAAACCUAAAAAAAGAAAUUGGUGUUGAGAAGUUAAAAAAAUCUAAAAGUGCUUGAUUAUUAUAAGAAGGUCUUCAUUCUCUCUGAGUCUCUCUCUCUCUGUGGGUGCCUUUUCUCUCUGGUGCCUUUUCUCUCUGGUGCAUUUCUGUCUCUCAUUCUUGUGACUUUUGCUUAUGUUGUUUGUCAUUGUUUUUAUGUUAUUUUCACUUGCUUUCAUACCAGGAUAAUUCAUUUUAUUUGGGUGUCUAUGCAUAGUUCUUUCAGACUUCCCUGUUGUGGAAUUUUAGACUUCAUGCAAGGGUUUUAAACUUAUUUCAUCUUUCCUGACUUCCUACCUCCUUCUUGUCUCUCAUUCCUUCCAUGUCACAUGGCACUUCAUGUUCCAUCCAGAUAUUUGGUUACAGAGUGAUUUGAAAUUAGGCUUGGAACAACAAAUAAACAGAAUACAUUGAGAUUCUCUUUGAUUUUGUACCUUUAAGGUUAGGACCUGCAAAAUAAACAAUAGUGCUUGGGGCGCCUGGGUGACGUAGUUGGUUAAGUGUCCGACUUCGGCUCAGGUCAUGAUCUCACGUUUGUGAGUUUAAGCCCCAUGCCAGGCUCUGUGCUGACAGCUUAAAGCCUGGAGCCUUCUUUGGAUUCUGUGUCUCUGUCUCUCCCCUGCUUGUGCCCUGUCUCUUUCUCUCUCUUAGUUCAAAGCCUGGAGCCUCCUGCAGAUUCUGUGUCUCUGUCUCUCCCCUGCUCGUGCCAUGUCUCUCUCUCUCUCUCCCUCUCUCUCUCUCUCUCUCUCAAAAUAAAUAAACAUUAAAAAAAAAUAAUAAGCAGGGGCGCCUGGGUGGCUCAGUCGGUUAAGCAUCCGACUUCAGCUCAGGUCAUGAUCUCACGGUUUGUGAGUUCGAGCCCCGCGUCGGGCUCUGUGCUGACAGCUCGGAGCCUGGACCCUGCUUCCGAUUCUGUGUCUCCCUCCCUCUCUGCUCCUCCCCGCUCAUACUCUGUCUCUCUCUCAAAAAUAAAUAAACAUUAAAAAAAAUAUAAACAGUGGUGCUCAUUUGUAGUAGGUGAUAAUGACUGCCAUACAAUCUUCCAGGAAAGUCAGUAUUGCUAGGGUAGUAAAUCUAUAGUCCCAAGAGUCUCUUAGAGUUAUUAAUUUGUCAUUGUGGUUAUGAAAUAUGUGAACUUCUAUGCAAUUUUAUAAACAACUGACCACAAAUAGAAGCAAGGGACCCUUUUUUAUGUUUGGGGGAAUUAUUUCUUAAGGACAACAGCUAUUUUCUCCUUACUACACAAUAGUUCUGUGGAAUUGGAACUUUUUUUACUUUAAUUGAAUCACAUAGUGCAUCAGUUCAUCUCUAAGAAUAGAUGGUGGCUGCCUUUGUAUUCAUACUGUUUCCCUCUACUAAGUAGUAAACCUAGAAAGGGAUUUUGCAAUGGUUCCCAAGAUAUUCAUUUAGUAAAUCACAUUUAUUUGAUAUUGGAUGUUUAAUUAAACUGCCAAGUGGCUUCUUCAUUUUGACUAUCAUUUUGAUUUAAAUAAACUCUAUCCUGGUUGACAACAUUGCAUAAGAAACCAAGCUGAAAUCUGCUCUCUCAAAGAUCCUUUCUUUCAGCAGGCAACUGGAUUUUAAGAGUAUUUGUAAUAAACAUUUUAGAAAAGUAUGUUCUUUCAAAUGAGUAAAAAUGAUCAUAUAGGCUCUCUUAAACUAUUUUUAAAAAUCAGCUCAAUUUGGGGCGCCUGGGUGGCGCAGUCGGUUAAACGUCCGACUUCAGCCAGGUCACGAUCUCGCGGUCCGUGAGUUCGAGCCCCGCGUCGGGCUCUGGGCUGAUGGCUCAGAGCCUGGAGCCUGUUUCCGAUUCUGUGUCUCCCUCUCUCUCUGCCCCUCCCCCGUUCAUGCUCUGUCUCUCUCUGUCCCAAAAAUAAAUAAACGUUGAAAAAAAAAAUUUUAAAAAUCAGCUCAAUUUUAUUGUACUUUAUUUUUUGAAUUAGUUCACUUUUAAAUUUAGUUAAAAUACUUUUCUGAUGUUAGUAUUCUUUGCAGGAAAUAAAUAUUCACAUAAAUUGUUUUCUCAGAAAUUUGACCCUGAAUACAGAAUUUCAGGUCAUUGAAAACAGGAUCAUUUGAAAUCUACAUUUCCUUCCCUUUUCCUAAUUUAUUUCAGUUGCUCAAUAGGAUUUUCUCAUGGAAUUAACUUUUCCCUCUCUGCAUAGUUACAUAAGCCUGCUUUCCUAAUCAUGAAAAAUUUCACCCGUUUCGGCACUUAUUAAAGUGAACUUUUACUUGAAGCGUUUCUGGUUGUAAAGCCAGAGUAUAUGACUAGAGGCAGAUAAAUAAUAACUCAUCAUUUAUAGCUCAGAAUUGCUUUAUAAUUUUUAAAUGCCUUUGGAAAGCUUGAUCUUAUGCCCAAAAGCAUGCUUUUGUGUUUGAAAUCCUUUAGUGAACUACUUAUUCAGGUCAUAUGCUUCCAAAGCCCUGCUUUUCUUUCCUCGGGAUAAAUUGCAUUAUGUGUUACCAUUAACAAUGCCACAUCAUUUCAAAGGAAACUAAAUUAAGUAGUGCAAGUCCAGGUUACUGGAAACUAGAUGAGUAGGCACUGUUUUGGUCACUAUGCAAAGGGUAUAUCUGUUUAAUUACCAAAGAUUGUCAGGCCAAAUACUUUGUCAUGCCUGCUUGUCAUUACUGUCACCACCCACUGCCCUCCCUCCCUGAAUACAAUCCUUUGGAUUUUUUUUCAGGUACCAUUUUUGUUCAGUCAUUUAACUACCUAGCAAUAUUGUGAGUUAUUAGUGUUUGCCAUUGGGAAAAUAAGCAUUUACUCACUGGCCUAAUUGACUUUGGGGGACCAGAUGGUGCCUUCUCCCUGGAGAAGGACAGAUUGGAGAAAUGUGGUUGUUAGAGAGUGCCAUCUGACUUAAACAACUUUUAAGAAGCCUAGUUCUAGUUGAUUUUUGUCUUUUCCAGAUGCUGUUCUAAUCCAGUUUUCCAGUUUUCUGUCAUUACAGAAUUGCCUUCCUUUACUUAGUAGCAAUGUAGAUGUAGUUUUGUGGGUCAUUAAGGUAUUUAUUUAUUUAUUUAUAUUUAUAUUUUCAUUAAGACAUUUUAAACCACCCUUUUUUAUUUUCUUUAUUUUUGAUCUCUUUCAGGUUGUUUGAAGGACGUUCAUCAAGGAAACCAGAGAAACUUAAGACACUCUUCUGCUAUUUUAGAAGAGUCACAGAGAAAAGUAAAUUUCUUUCAUUCUUAAUAUAAUUUUUAUCACUGAUGGGGACAGUUCAGAUUGAGUGACAGGUCAGAAACAUUUGUGUUCAAAGUACACCUUCCUGCCCAGACCAAAUAAUUCAAUAUUAUAAUUCAGAUUUUAUGUGUAUGCUAUGUAUGUACAUUAAAUGUGUGCUAUGAAUAUGUGUGACUUUUAUAUACUCUGAAAUUAGAACAGUGGAACAUACUUUAAUAAGUUUUCAUGAAUUAAAAACAGUAAAUUAGUACUUUGAAAAGAAAAUAUGUUGACCAAAAAAUAUAUUUCGAGUGUCCUUCCUUCCUUCCUUCCUUCCUUCCUUCCUUCCUUCCUUCCUUCCUUCCAAGUUUAUUUAUUUUGAGAGAGAGAGCGAGUGAGUGUAUGCUUGCACGCCCAAGUGGGGAAGGGGCAGAAAGAGGAAGAGAGAGAAUCCCAAGCAGACUCUGUGCUGUCAUUGCAGAGCCCAAUGAUGAGGGGCUCAAUCCCAGGGCCAUGAGAUCAUGACCUGAGCCGAAAUCAAGAGCCAGAUGCUCAACCGACUGAGUCACCCAGGCACCCCAGGUGUUCUUUAUUUAAAGAAGCAUUGACUAUUAACAAUUAGUUUAUUUGCAGAGGACAGCCAAUUUGUUGCCUGCUUACUCAUCCCUCUCUUUUGUGGCCCCUUUACACACUGUAGAAUUCUUAUAAAAUUCUUAUAUUGUACUUAGUGUUUACAUGUUUGUCUUUUUCUGUUGGACCCUGACAAUCUUGUUUUCCCAGAUACUAAUUGUGACACCUGAGGCAGUAGUGGUAAAUGUAUAACCAGUGCUGGUAGCGACCAGCUAAUAAUAGAUUGGUAUUGGCACUCUUACCCUAGGAGCUGGGUGACCCAGACAAGUUUCUUAACACCUCUAAGCCUUAGUUUCCUGACCUCUAAAAUCAAAGAAUAAUGAUAAUUACCUCAUAAGGUAGUUGUAAAUAUUAAAUGAGAAGUUAUAUGCUUAAUAAUAAAUGUUAGCUAUUAUCAGUGAGUGGCCUUUUCUAAAAGUUGAUUAUAAGAGAAACCAGAGCAUCCCAAAGUUUGCUUUUGUUAUGUAGAGAAAGUCAACUCUGGUCAAGUGAAAUGAGUUCUUUUCAGUUCCGGCCAUUCAGUUGUUGGUUUGCCUUAAAGCACAUCAUUGAAUCAUUUUAAGGUCAAUAUUCUCAUAUUCUUCCUUUAGUAUGUAAUCUCACAUUAUAGUAUACUCGGCAUUUUUUUCUUUUUGAAGGUAUUGCUGUUGAACAUUGUUCAGAUUUUUGGAAAUAAAUCAGUUAUCAGGAUUUUGGUUUUUAAGGAAAAAAAUCAUGCUUCUUUGGAGAGUUAUCUAUUUCUUAUUUUUAGUUUUGUUCAUUAUACUGAAUAAAAUAAUUAAGGAAAUGAAGGGCUCAUUUGUGUUUGUGAGACAUAAAGCCAAAUUAGAAUUUGUAAUAAUUUUUUGGAAAGAUGAGUAUAUUUUUGCUAUUAUAAAUUUACUGUGCUAAACAGAAUGAAUUCCAUUAUUAUACCUAAGUAAUUCAGAGUUUACUUUUCUGUCCUUGGAGUCAAAUUAUGUAUAUCUUCUCUAGACACUAACUUGUCUAAGUUUUAGGAUUUUAUUUAUUUGAGGGAAAAAGCUAAAAUUCUGUUUUUUCAACUAGAAAUUUAUAAACCAUCAUAAAUAUUAGGAAUUAGGCUGAAAAAAUAAAUUAUAAUUAGGCAUUUUAUUUUCUGGCUUUUUCAUUGUACAUGGUAAUUUAGUCUUUUGUAGAAAUGUAAUGAAACAUCUUACAAGUUUUUAGGAUGGAAAGCUACAGGCUUAAGGAGGAAGUAGUGGUAUAAAAGAGGUUUACAAGUUAAUGAUUACCUUAUAAAGAAGUUCUGAAGUCUACCGAAUAGAAACUAUAAAAACCUAUUUAAAGUACUGUAUUUCAUCAUAUCUAGGAUAUCGUAGAUGGUAAAAAGUGUCAUGUUAUGUACCACUAAGAAGGAAAAAACACUCAGGAUGGGCAGUCAUAGGAGACCUCUCUUACAAAGCUGAUACACCAAAGGUCUGUACCUUCAGUGUAAGGAUAGUUGAGAAAUGUACCUGGCUGUGCAAAAAGGAGACAACAAAGGAACUGCAAGUGCCAACCUUGGCACUGGCUAGAGAAAGGACAAAAAAAUCUCCCCUGAGAAUUUGAACCACAAGUCUCAAGUUUGGGGUCUGAAGUCAUAUUAUCAGUGUGAUCCACAAAAGCCUGCAACAGAGGACUUAAUUCAGAUCUAGAUCAGGUUGGUGUUGCUCCCAGAUGACUAAGAAGCAGAUGCACAUUUUCUCUGGAAAAAUUCAACUGUAAUCUAGACCAGUGGCAAAGGCUAGAUACGUUCCAUUAUGAAAGCUGUAUCCCAGUUUCAGAAGUUUAGUACAUGAAAAACAUGCGCCUUUUAGAAUUGAUAAAAUGUAAUUCCGUCAGGACCAACUUUUCAAUGUUGUCAGAUGUCUAUAUUUUAUUUAUUUAUUUAUUUAUUUAUUUAUUUAUUUAUUUAUUUAUUUAUUUAUUUUGAGAGAGAGAGGGUGUGUGUGUGCAGGAGGGGCAGAAGGAGAGAAGACAGAAUCCCAAGCAGGUUCCACAGUCAGCACAGAGCCUGAUGUGGGCUUGAUCUCACCACUCCGAGGUCACAACUUGAGCUGGUCUCAAGAGUCGGAUGCUCAACCGACUGAGCCACUCAGGUGCCACUAUAUUUUAUAUUUUAAUGGAGAUCUUGAGGUUUAAAGAUUUUCAAGGGCUUUCUGAAAUAAUUUCAAUAUAGUUUUGGAUAAAGUAUCUUAUAGAUGGAGUAUUUAAAAAUUGAGGAUUCACAUGCAGCAUAUAUUGUGAUUUUAUUAAGGGAAAUAUUUUAUUAAUCAAAGUAACCUAGCAUAAAAGUUACCUUUUUAUGGAAGAAAGGUAAAAAGAAUGCUCUCAAGGUAUUUCUGAUAUUAAUUAUAUCCAAGGAACCAUGUUCUUUUUUCUGGCUUUCCCAGCAAUAUUCAUUUAUGAAUUUCUCUUGGGAUCUCCUAAUAUAUCUGAAGGACAUUUAAUAUAUGAAGGAUUUUAAUAUGUGAAGGACAUUUAAUAUUCUUAUUUAUCUGCUAAUUUGCUGAAUGAUAAUACUGACAUUAGUUUCUUAUAAAUAGAAUUGCUUCUCUGGUGUUUGAAUUGUUUGAUCUCAUACUUAUGAGUUUUAAAUAUGCUAUCCAUUUGCCUUAGAGAAAUUACUUAAGGAAAUCUUAAGAAUAUUUUAUAACCCAUAUUAACAAAAUUCUGUUUUCUACAGUAACUACUCCAUAUGAUUUUUGAGUUGUUACUGCUUGUGACUGAGAGCAGAGAAAUGUGGAAUCAUACAGAGGAAUGAAAUGAUCGUCAAACUUUCAUUGGGCCUCUACCACCAUUAUCACUAAUAGUUCCUGACAUAUCUCUUUGCUUAAGAGCUUUUUUCUUUCUUGCUUUCUUUCUUUCUUUUUUUUUUUUAACAGAAGAAAACAGAAGUGGCCUGGCCUUUUUAGUUUGUUCUUCGAUUUGAAUCAAAUUACUUUUGGCCUGCUGAUUUAUUUGUUGUUUUUGCCACUAGUUUAAAAAAAAAAAAGUAAACUUAACAGAAAAGGAUCAUACUCCUUUACAUGUACUGCAUUUUGAUCCCCCUCCUAUCUAUCCCUCCUUGACAACUAUGUUGUCUUUCUUUUCUCUAACCUCUUAGAACAUAGCAAUUCCUCCUUCUAGUUAAGGUGCCUUGUAAGUAAAGCGAUUGCAUAUCAUCUAAACCCUGGAUUUAACCAUGUCAACUCCAAAGGGCAUGCCAACAAUUUGUUUUUUAAUCACAGGCAUUUUAUUUUAUUAUAAAAUGCAUAAAUGUGUAUACAUUCAUCAAUCUUCAGGUGUAGGAUCAAGACCUUUCUUUGAAAAGGAGUCUACAGAUUAAAAUUCAGUUUUGUCUUUAUUGUAUAAGCUACACCCAUUAAUGCACCUUUUUUUUCCAAUGAUUUUUCACAAGUAUAUUCAGUUUAGAAAACUUUACCAGUAAGUAUCAACUGUUGUGCUGUUGUUUGUGUAGUUUUGUUUUUCAGUAAGGAUUUUAUAAGCAAGAGUUCCUACUAUAAGGAUAAUAUUUUAAAUCGAUCUUCUGUUGUAUUCUAACACUAAGCUUGGUAUUUUCCGAUUAGUUUUACAACCAUUGUUAGAUCCAUUCUUUUACUGAAUGUAUAUAAUCUUUUCAAAAUCAAAACUUCUUUUGGGUGUGUUUUUCUUUUAUUGCUUUUGUAGAACCUACUGGCUUGGUGACAUUUACAAGACAGAGUCUUGAAGAUUUUCCAGAGUGGGAAAGGUAAUAGUAAUAAAAAUAAUCUGGGAAUCCUAGAAUUAGAAGGACUCUUUUACCAUGCAAGGAUUCUAUUUCACAACCUCAGGAAAAAUGGUUUCCCAACCUCUUAGUUGCCCUAGUGCUAGGGGAGUUUCGUAUCAUAAAUGAUCCAUUGAUAGCUCUCAUUGGUAGAAAGGCCAUGCUUUCUGAAUCAAGGCCUGCAAGCCUUUGACUUCUACUGUUUGCCUUAGUGGAUUUUUUUGUUUUUGUUUUUGUUUUUAUUUUUGUUUUCUGAAGCAAAAUCUUAUUUAGAAUUAAGGAGUUUGUGUGUGAAGACACUAAUAUUAACUAGAACAACCAAUAUAUAAUGUUCAGUCUUACCUUCUCUUUUGGUUAGUAUAUAUGUAUUUUAUGGCUUUUCAUUCUGGAGGACAAGAUGUUGGAAAAUUUUUUCAUUAAACUAAAAUGUAAAUAGUAAUUACUUAGAAUUUGUCUCAGUGACAAGAAUUUUGAAGUUUGGCUAUUCACAUGCAGAUUUUGUGGAAGUUGCUAAUUUACUGGGGCUUUUUUUCUUAUUAUUUACCUACAGAUAACUGAGAAGAAUAAUAAUCAAUCUGAGUUCAUUCAGAUUUGUAAGUUCCUUGGGGCCCUGAACUAGUCAAUACUUUCCCUAGUCUAGAGCAGGUCCCUAUAUCACCUAAAGAGGAAUAGAUCACCUUUUCCAUUGCACAUGAGAACAUGAUCAAACAUACUAAAUGCAUAUUUUGCAUAUGCAUUUGUGUUGACCAGUGCCUCUCAUUUUCAUUUUCCUAUAAUUUUUAUCAUAGCUUUUAAUUAUUUCCUUUGGAAUUAGUGACGAAAGGGACUUACUUUUAAGGAAGUUAACUUGAUAAAACAUAUCUGCUUAAGUGGCUUUCCUGUGAUGUUUUUUUAUCCAUCAAAGAUGUUUAUUUGUGAGGUGAAAAAAAACAAACAAACUUACAUUAGGAGCUGACUGCAUGGCUGAGAUGAUUAUUAAUAGAGGGAAGUGGGUAAAAGUUUAAACAACCUGAAGACAAAAAACAAAAACAAAAUUGAGCCAGAAAGAAAGAGAACAUGUACAGCAUUUUGGAGUCUUGGCAUAUUAGAGAUGAAAGGGACCCCCAAGAAAUCAUCUGGUCUAGCUGUCUACUAAAAGUAUCAGUCAGCUCUACCUGUGACAGAUGACAGACAGCUUCAGUGUUGGGAAAUUCACUCUUUCACCUCAGUGUGUCCCAUUGUUGAUGUUCAACAUCAUAAUGCUUUCUUGACCCACCCGCAUAUCUAACAGUGCACAUAGGUAACACACUAAACUUACUCUUUUCUCUGUUUCACAUAUAAUAUGGAUUCUAAACCCUUUAUAUUUGUUCUUGAUCUACUCCAGGCCAUUGGUCUCUCUUAAAAUAUGGUGUCUACAACUAAAAGUAACAAUUUGCUGCUAUCUGCCCAGGCCAGGGUACAGAUUGCUUUUCUUAGCUUUUGUGUUAGUAUCUGACAGGAAUACAGACGUUUUGUUCAUCUCACUUUGGUGUAGAUUUUAUAGAUCAUGCAGAGGGCUUGUUUUUAAUUCAGCUGUAGAUCUCAGCUCUUCAUCUGACAUUCAUUUGGCACUAAGGGGAAAGGACACCCAUUUGUACAUUACCAUCUGGGAGAGAAGGGAUAAGUCAAAAUGCCAACCACAAUUGGCAAGGCUGCUGUGUCAGUGAGAUAAAUUUGCCCCUGAGUAAGAUCAAGAUACUCCCCUUAACUUUGAUAGGCACAAUUUGACUUGAUAACUUUUCUAACGUUUUUGUUUCAUUGAUCUCUUUUUGUUUUAGCUGCUUCGUAAGUGAGUUGGAGAAUGUAACUAAUCAAUCUCCCAGAUUCCACAGAACCAGAAACAUGCAUUCACUUUAAGAGGGAGGAUAAAGAAGAGAUGAGGAUUGUUGGUGUUCCCAACAGCAAGGGGCUAAAUGAGAGCCAGGAAGUUGGAGGUUUUUCUAAUUUCCAAGCUUCUGCCAUGUUACAGUUAACCCAGCAGUCACCAGUGACUACCUUAGCUGGGCUUACUUAAUCACAGAGAGUCACAGUCAUCUGUCUUUGAUUCCUAGUGCGGUGGUACGAAAGAUUUGCUUGGGCCAAAAGGGGACACCUGUCAGGAAGUUGGAGGAUGCUUUUUUAAAAAGUGGCUAGCAAUUUCAUAAUUUUAUUGAGAGCUGUACUAUAUGUUGACAGCUUCCAUCAUGGAGAAUAGUUGAUGUCAGAUGAGAUUUGUUUUGAAGUCCUGGCUGACAAACUAGAGAUUUCUGGAUCGUGCUUCUUUGUCUUUUCAGUAGUAUCCUCAUGGAUGUCUCCCUUAGCAUAAAAUGUCUAGGAAAAUAGGAUCAAAAAACAAACGAAGGAAGUUAAAAAAAAAAAUCAGACUUGUGUCACUACUUUCUACAAGAGAUUUGGAAAGUAAUUUUUCUAAAGGUGUAGCAUACCGGUUAAGAGUUUGGACCACUGUUAGGUUACCUGGGUUCAAAUCUUUGUUUUGCUUCAUUUACGAGACUUAGGCAGGUUACUUAAAUGCUUUCUGUAUCUUGUUUUCCCAUCUGUAAAAGGAGAUGGUAAUGGGGUUGCUAUCAGGAUUAAAUGAGUUAAUGCGAAUGCAGCUCUUAGAAUCUGUACUGAAUUGCCUGCUGAGUUUAAGGCUCUCAGUCUUCUGGACUGGAGCUUCCCCAGAAAUGUAUUUGGACUCCUUGAAAUCAGGAAGAAUGUAAAUCCCAGAAAGUAAAUAGCACUCCCCCAGUUAAAUUGUUUUUAAAAAUGUGUAAUUAUUUUUAAAAAUAUGUAAUUCCCCCCGCAUGAAUGCCACCCUUAUGUAAGUUAGAGAUUUGGAUUUCAUCUGUUAUAUUCUUUUAUAACUUAUAUUCUUUAUUAAGUAAGUAAUGGGGAAAAUCUAUUAGCAAAAAAUGUCAUCGUCAAAUACUAUUAAUAAAAUGGAAUUGAUUGUUUAAUAUAAUGUAAGACAGGUAAACACAGUAAGGGAGGAAAAAGUUUCUUCUUAACCCAGUUAGGAUCCCAGACUGGGUCUGAAAAUUAAACAGACAAAGACAGAUUAACAGGAGAAAAGCACACAAAUUUAUUUAAUAUAAAUUGUACAUGUCACAGGAGCCUUCUUAAGGAAAUGAAAGCCCAAAGAAACAGACCCACAUACUUUAUACUAGGUUUGAUAACAUCUCUAAGGAAUAUGACAGAUUAAGAAAUAUGAGGUAAUUGUAGUAAACUGGGGGAAACUUAGCAAGGCUUGUUUGCUAGAUUCUUGAUACCCCUUCUUCUUUGGAGAUGAGGAUGCUGCUUUCCUCCAGAUAGAGGGUGGGCACCUUGCACAUGAGGGGUUUAUUACAGGGAAGAACUGUGAGGAGGGGAGGUCAGAGUGACCCUCCUGUUUCUGCCAUUUUCUCAAAUUUAAAAUAUUUGUUAGGCCAUGGUGUCACGUUUUAGGGUGGCAUGACCUCAGUGACCAUGGCUUAUAAAAGGGAAAGAAAAUAAUUGUGACUUAGAGGUACUAGGUUCAUCCAUCAAUUUUAUUAAUGUAAAAAUACAAUAGAUCAGAAUUUCUGUGGCAUGUAUUUUCAUCAAGAUACCCCUGCCACACACACUCAUGUUUAUCAAACUAGUGAAAAUAGACCCUAUCUUAGCAUCAUAUGAUUUAUUGCUAAAUUUUUCUGUAUUUUUCUUUGGGUUGCCAACUGUAGCAUAAUAACAUUUCAUAGAUCUUAAAUUUUUUUUUAUAUUUUGAGAAGUUUUUCAACUCUUAAAGAAAAGAAACUGAUAUUUUAUAGGAGAAAUAAUGGGUUUCAGAACAGCAUAUUAUCCCAUUUUAAUUUAAAUAUGUGUAUUUAAUAUUUGAAUAAGAACAAGUUUGGGAGUGUCUAUAUCAAAAAUGUUAACCAGGCAUCUGUUUCUGGCUUUUAAGAUUCAAAACAGUUUCAAUUUGUCUUUUAUAUUCAUGUAUAUUUCCACAUUUUUCUGUAGUGAAGUAUUUGUCAUUAAAAGUAAAGGAUUAUCUUUUUAAAUUAUAGAUGUGACAAACUCCUGACUCGAUUGCAUGUCACUUAUGAAGGUACCAUAGAAGGAAAUGGUCAAGGCAUGCUACAGGUAGGUGAAUCACAAUGUGUGUGUGUUUGGGACUCUCUCUUAUCGAGUGAAAGCAAAGAAAAUUUGAAAACCUAUUUGUUCAUCUCCUAAACUGAUUUAUUAAUGCAAAGAAGCAUGAUAGCAGAAUGGAGAAAAACACCAAACAGAUCAUCUUGACAGCCUUGGUAAAGCUGUUAUUUGCCAGUGUAUUGUUUCUUACGUGUGCCUCUUUAAAAAGCCUUUGACAGAAAAUCUUAAGAUCUGGACAACAUCAGGCCUCUUAGUUCAGACAUUGAUUGUAGACUGACAGUGGAGGAAGUUCCCAGGGUAUGGUCUUGACAAGCCAUCACUAGGCAGUUUUGUUCUUUUUCUUUAAAGGCUGUUGCUCUGCCCCCAAAUGAUGACCAGCUUGAAAUGUUUUUCUGCCACCAACCUUGCUUAGGUCUUAGGACACAGACAUCUAAAAUUGAUUGAUAAGAAAGUCGUCUCUCCCAUAUGUAACAGUUUUAGGUACGUGAGCCAGCUAUGCUUGCUAUCUCUUCCCCAUUUCAGAGCAGGUUAUUUUGUCCAUCUCUCAGUCUUUGUUAUUUAUCUGUGUCAUUGCCUUCACUUUAAAAACAUAUAUUUUUGGAAAAAGGAGUUAACAAAGAAAACACCCUGUGUAUCUAGCUUUAAAUUGUUGUAACACUUAACACAUGUUUUCCUUUUGCUUUGUAGUGAUAGUGAUCUUUUUUCAAAAAUCACUAAUCUGAGGCAAAAUGUUGGUGAUUUGUGUUCUUGUCCCAUUUAUAAGAGCAUCACAAUGUCAGUUUUCUUUGAAAGAUGCUUAUACAUCAUUUCACUUCUACUGGGAAUUGCUGAUUUUUCUUCUUAGAUCCUUAUCUAGUCUAGAGAGUGGACUAACUUGUUUGAAUAACUUAAUGUAUACUGUAAAAUUACUAGACUGAUUUGCAUUUGCCUAGUUAUUAUAUAUUUAUACUCUAAGUGCUUAAUGAAACUGAGAUUCUUUUUUAGAAUGGCCUUUUAAAAGAUACAUUUAUAAUUAAAAUCUUCAAAGGGGCAAACCAUGUUUUGUUUUAAAUCACCAUCUCCCAGUGAUUUUUUUGAGAUUAUAAAUAGAAAUACUUAGGAUAGCUGGAGUAAUAUUUGUCUGGUACUUAAAAAAAUUUUUUUUAAUUUGUAUUUAAUCAUUACUUUUUUUGUUAAAUAAUAAUUUUGAAAUAGGCUUAAAAUUUACUUCAAAUGAAUGUUACUUUUCCCCCACAUUUACAUUUUGAUGAUGUUCUUUUCUACAUUAAAGUAAUAGAUUGACUGAGAGAGUCUUAAUACACAUGAAAUAAACAAAGCUACUGCUAGUUAGCGCUGUGGGAAUGCUGAUCUUUCAUCACAAUACAAUUCAGCAAGGAAUUAUUUAACAACAUUCAAGGUUGAGAUUCUUCCCACUUUUCUAUAAUAUAUUAUAGGUGAAAUGUGAAACCUCAGUGGAUUAAAAGAAUACCAUAAAGACUUCUAUUAAUUAUUCUCCCUACCCAUGCUAUGUAUCCCCAGGAGAUUGGAGAAAUACUGUAUUGCAAUUUAAAAAGUUCCUUGUGUAGCAUAUAAGUUACAUUAUGCUGAAUGGCAACAAGACCUCUCUAAGGAUUGUUAUCAUUUCUCUCUUUUCAUCAAGUUAUAAUUCAGAAACUGAAUAAUCUGAACAAAUAGCUUUAAAGUGAAGUGAGUUGGAAAAUGGCUAAAAAUAAGCACUCAUAUGCUUGUAUUCAUGUUCUGGAACAGGUUUCUCACCUGUAAUAGAAAGCCUAUUAAGAACUUUUUUAAGUAGUGGAAAGUUUGAUUUUUUUAAAAGACCCCUGCCUUCAGGGGCAUAUUGAGUUUAGUAUAACGUAUUUAUUUCUAUGCAUACCUUUCAAGUAAUAAAUGUUAGCCUUUUAUUCAAAGAAUGAAUAAUAGUAUGCACAUUGAAUGUAUUUCAUUUAUCAUUACCAAGUUAUACAUAAAUUAUAUAGAACUUCCUUUUUAUUUUAGUUAUGUACCUUGUUCCAGUAAAAAUUAAGUUUAGCUGAUCUCAAACUUUGUUUCUCAUUUGUAUUCACGAUACCAUUAUACUUACUUAGCUAGUCUCUUGGUUUUCAAGUGCUGUCUGUUUUAAUUUUUUGCUGGACCUCUCUUUUCUUCAGUUUCUUUCCCACUGACUUAUUUGAGGCCUAAGUAAUUCUUGUCAAACCUAUUUAGUAGUCACCUAACCAGCUUCUCUGCUUUUAAUUUUACACCUUUCCAAUUCAUUCUUUAAACUCUAGACUCAGUUUAAAGUUACAACUGGACCCUGUGUAAGGUCCAGUUGUAACUUUUCUUUUUAUAAUCAUUCCAAGAAUACCUUAUCACCAACCAUAAUCCUUCACAUACUCUACAUCGCAGAUAGGCGUGAGGAACAUGCUUAUCACUCUUCAUAGAGCUGCUUACAGCUCUGUGUUUUUCCUAUGUGUUUGUGCAGUUAUUCCCUCUGCCUGAAUGUCAGCAAAAUCUAAAUUGAAUAUCACCUCCUCUUGUAAACUCCCCUAUUCUCCUUCCCAUGCUCCAGUUUUAGUUAAUUGUAUUAUUUGGAAAGGAUCAAAUAUAUUCUAGUAGGUUCUUUAAUAAACAUUUUUUCAUUCUGCUUAUGUGCUGGGAUCUCAUCUAGAUUACAAAUGCUGUGAAGCCAGGGCCCACGUCUUACUUAUUUUUGUAUCUCAUGGUCCCCAGCACAAUAUUCAGUUAAUAUUUGUUGAAUAUUUUAAGUCAUAAAUCACCCAAUGCAUAAUGACUUUAUAUAUUGUAAAUAAUUCUAAUCAAUGGACUUGUUGAAUCAAAAUUAUUUUUCUAUAUAAGCUACAGAGUUACUCUUUUUUUAGUGUUGAUUUAGUAUGUCUGAAUAUAAACUUAUAUAUGAUUCUGUGAUAACUCAUUUCAAGAUCUUGUCCAGUCAUAUUUUUCAGUAUUUUCUAAGUUCUUUUCUAAUGAAAGAAGACUGCUUUACCUUCUAUUAGUUUCUGUCUUUCCACAUAUAUUUUUAUAUAUAAAAAAAUUGAUAUUCUUGUUUUACUCUUUUGUAGAAUAGGCUUCAAAGUAUUGUUUAAUAUUACAGUUGCUUUAGAGACAUAAGCAACUUAAAAAAAAUUUUUUUUAAUGUUUAUUCAUUUUAGAGAGGAGAGGAGGAGGGACAGAGAGAAAGGGACACACAGAAACCGAAGCAGGCUCCAGGCUGUGAGCUAUCAGCACAGAGCCCAGUGCAGGGCCCGAACUCACAAACUGUCAGAUCAUGACCUGACCCAAAGUCGGAUGCUUAACCGACUGAGCCACCCAGGUGCCCUGAGAAUACAAACAGGUUUUAAGAAAUCUUACAUUUGACAGUAGUCUGAAAGUAUAUGUAAAAUCAUAGAAAAAAAAUCUAUAUUGGUGUCUGCCCCUGAUUCUUUGCACAGAGCUCCUAAAACCCUUGUAAUUUCCUAGGUGAUGGGACUGUCUUUUGUUCUGAUGAGGUGACUUUUGGUGAGCUCCUGGAGAGCUUUAGGGUGGGGGCUGGUUACCAAAAAGACUAAGCCAUGAUUAGAAGCUUGAAACUUUCUACUCUACUCCCCAUCUUCUGGGAAAAGGAGAGGGACUGGAGACUGUGCUAAUGAUUGAUCAUGCCUAAGUGAUGAAGCUUCCACCAAACUACCCAAAAGUAUGGGAUUCAAAGAGCUUCCAGGUUGGUGAACAUGUGGAAGUUGGUGAACAUGGGGAGAGGGAGAGGUAGCUCUGUGCCUCUUACCGUAUACCACGCCCUAUCACUUCAUAUGUCUAUUCAUCUCUAUCCAUUAUUAUAUCCUUUUUAAUAAAUGAGUAAACAUAAGUAAGUGUUACCGUGGGUUCUGUGAGUUUAUCAAACCACAAGAGCAGAUUAUGAGAACCCCAAUUUAUAGCCGAUCAACUGUACUUCUAGUUGCAGUUGGUGUCUGAAGUGGGGCAGUCUUGUGGGACUGAAUUGUUACUAGCCUGUUGGAUCUGAUGCUAACUCCUGGUAGAUGGUGUCAGAACUGAAUUGAAUUGUAGGACACCCAGCUGGUGUUUCAGAAUUGCUCUAUGUGUGGAAAUCCAUACAUCUGACAUCAGAAGUGUUGUGAGUGUGGUAGUACUGUAGGAGUAGAGGAAAGAGAGUAUGUUUUCUCUGUACAGUAUUUAAGCCUCUCUUACCUUACUAAAAUCUUUGUGGGUGUGGGUGGCUAUGUAUGUACACAAGGUGUUAUGUAUGUGUGUAAUCUAAAUCCUCAAAUAGAGUAAUCUAAAAGUUGGAAACCAUUUCUUACAUACUGCCCCAUAGAGCUUUGCAUAAUGUUGGACACGCUGGAGUGCUUAGUAAGUUUAAGACAAAUCAUACUGACAGGUAGAAUUUGCUUUGUCUAGAGCAUUGUGUAACUCAUCUUUAUUAAUAGGAGCUUGGUGAUCCCAUUAUAGUACUCCACAGAAAGCUUAUGAGUAAUUUUAAACUAAAUUGGAAAUAUUAAUUUAGUUGAAUCUUUUUUUUUUUUUGUUUUAAUGUUUAUUUUUGAGAGAGGGGUCAGAGUGUGAGCAGGGGAGGGUCAGAGAGAGAGAGANAGACAGACAGACAGACAGACAGAAUCCGAAGCAGACUCCAGGCUUCAAGCUGUCAGCACAGAGCCUGACACAGGGCUCGAACUCAUGAACCAUGAGAUCAUGACCUGAGCUGAAGUCUGAUGCUCAAUCGGCUGAGCCACCCAGGUGCCCCCUUUGGGUUUUUCUUUUAACUUUUUUUUUUUAAUUCCAGUUAGUUAGCAUACAGUGAUNNNNNNNNNNNNNNNNNNNNNNNNNNNNNNNNNNNNNNNNNNNNNNNNNNNNNNNNNNNNNNNNNNNNNNNNNNNNNNNNNNNNNNNNNNNNNNNNNNNNNNNNNNNNNNNNGCCUAUCUACCCUCUGGUAACCCUCUGUUUGCCCUCUAUAGUUAAGAGUCUGUUUCUUGGUUUGCCUCUGUUUCUCCCUCCCCUGUGAUUGUUUAUUUUGUAUCUUAAACUCCAAAUAUGAGUGAAAUCAUAUGGUAUGUGUCUUUCUCUGACUGACUUAUUUCACUUAGCAUAAUACUCUCUGACUCCAUUCUCAUCAUUGCAAAAGGCAAGAUUUCAUACUAUUUUAUGGCUGAGUAAUAUUCUAUUCUAUUGUGUGUGUGUGUGUGUGUGUGUGUGUGUGUGUAUGUAUAUAUAUAUACAUGAAACAUCUUCUUUAUCCAUCAGUCAAUGGACAUUUGGGCUCUUUCCAUAAACGUGCACCCCAAUGUUUAUAGCAGCAUUAUCAACAAUAGCCAAUUUUAUGAGUCUUUGUUGUUAAACUAGGUUUCCUGUUUUCUUUUUUUUUCUCCUUAGGUAUAGUAAAAAUAAACAGUUUGUAAUGUUCAUGUAGUUUGGGCUUUGCAACUGAAUUUAGGGUGAAAUUUUAUCUCUUUAUUCUUUCACAGAAGAAAAAGGUUAUCCAAAAAAGGGCAAUUACUUAAAAAAAAAGGGCAAUUACUAAAUUUUUCAGUUCUUUAAGGACAAAUGUUUGAUUGCCAUAGUAUAUAAGAAAGAUAUAAUUAUAUUAGAGUCAUAUGAAAUCCAUAAAUGGAAAUUGAGUAGUGAAUGGUAGGGAAAUGAUCUUGAAACCUUUCCAGAUAAAGUUUCCUUUGAUUUGUGGCCCUUGUAGUACAUAUAAGGUUUGUAAAUAACAGUCUAUAUGAUUACACUGAGGCUUUUGCCUAAAAGCUCCAUUUUCCAGGUUCCUUCUAAGGUUUUGGAAUCUAAAGAAGUAUGCAAAGAUGUUACCUGGAGUGAGAUGGGAAGAGUGCAGUCAACCACAGUCUGUUCUCCGUUGGAAGAUUACUAAUUUGGGGAUUGAUUUAUAUGGGAAACGAAAGGAAGAGAGAAAGUGCUUCUUUAUCAUAUAUGUAGGUAUUUUAGAUAAUCAUUUAACAUGCCACAUUUUCCCUAAUAGGUGGAUUUUGCAAACCGUUUUGUUGGAGGUGGUGUAACCGGUGCAGGACUUGUGCAAGAAGAAAUCCGCUUUUUAAUUAACCCCGAGUUAAUUGUUUCACGGCUCUUCACUGAGGUGCUGGAUCACAAUGAAUGUCUUAUCAUUACAGGUUAGUUUUGG
This 27679-nucleotide long non-coding RNA is filed under the name Lynx pardinus (Iberian lynx). Lineage: Eukaryota; Metazoa; Chordata; Mammalia; Carnivora; Felidae. The record is from RNAcentral.